This 618-nucleotide ribosomal RNA is filed under the name uncultured Alphaproteobacteria bacterium. RNAcentral describes it as "bacterial SSU rRNA". It matches the Rfam family "Bacterial small subunit ribosomal RNA", at positions 28 to 692 of the family's 1533-position model. Lineage: Bacteria; Pseudomonadati; Pseudomonadota; Alphaproteobacteria. The record is from RNAcentral.
AGCGAACGCUGGCGGCAGGCCUAAUACAUGCAAGUCGAGCGCGCCCUUCGGGGUGAGCGGCGGACGGGUGAGUAACGCGUGGGAAUAUGCCCUUCUCUAAGGAAUAGCCUCUGGAAACGGAGAGUAAUACCUUAUACGCCCUUUGGGGGAAAGAUUUAUCGGAGAAGGAUUAGCCCGCGUUAGAUUAGGUAGUUGGUGGGGUAAUGGCCUACCAAGCCUACGAUCUAUAGCUGGUUUGAGAGGAUGAUCAGCCACACUGGGACUGAGACACGGCCCAGACUCCUACGGGAGGCAGCAGUAGGGAAUCUUAGACAAUGGGGGCAACCCUGAUCUAGCCAUGCCGCGUGUGUGAUGAAGGCCCUAGGGUCGUAAAGCACUUUCGCCAGAGAUGAUAAUGACAGUAUCUGGUAAAGAAACCCCGGCUAACUCCGUGCCAGCAGCCGCGGUAAUACGGAGGGGGUUAGCGUUGUUCGGAAUUACUGGGCGUAAAGCGCACGUAGGCGGAUUAGUAAGUUAGAGGUGAAAUCCCGGGGCUCAACCCUGGAACUGCCUUUAAUACUGCUAGUCUUGAGUUCGAGAGAGGUAAGUGGAAUUUCUAGUGUAGAGGUGAAAUUCAUA